This 72-nucleotide transfer RNA is filed under the name Camelus bactrianus (Bactrian camel). It matches the Rfam family "tRNA". Rfam says of the family: Transfer RNA (tRNA) molecules are approximately 80 nucleotides in length. Their secondary structure includes four short double-helical elements and three loops (D, anti-codon, and T loops). Further hydrogen bonds mediate the characteristic L-shaped molecular structure. tRNAs have two regions of fundamental functional importance: the anti-codon, which is responsible for specific mRNA codon recognition, and the 3' end, to which the tRNAs corresponding amino acid is attached (by aminoacyl-tRNA synthetases). tRNAs cope with the degeneracy of the genetic code in two manners: having more than one tRNA (with a specific anti-codon) for a particular amino acid; and 'wobble' base-pairing, i.e. permitting non-standard base-pairing at the 3rd anti-codon position. The record is from Rfam by way of RNAcentral. RNAcentral also lists the same sequence under 3 other names. Lineage: Eukaryota; Metazoa; Chordata; Mammalia; Artiodactyla; Camelidae.
GUGGGUAUAACUCAGUGGUAGAGAUCAUGCUUAGCAUGCAUGAGGUCCUAGGUUCAAUUCCCAGCACUUCCA